UACGGGGGGGGCAAGCGUUGUUCGGAAUUACUGGGCGUAAAGGGCUCGUAGGCGGCCAACUAAGUCAGACGUGAAAUCCCAAGGCUUAACCUUGGAACUGCGUCGGAUACUGGAUGGCUUGAAUUCGGGAGAGGGAUGCAGAAUUCCAGGUGUAGCGGUGAAAUGCGUAGAUAUCUGGAGGAAUACCGGUGGCGAAGGCGGCAUCCUGGACCGACAUUGACGCUGAAAGCCGAAAGCUAGGGGAGCAAACGGG
Molecule: ribosomal RNA, 253 nt
Filed under: uncultured bacterium
Lineage: Bacteria
Description: partial 16S ribosomal RNA
Rfam family: Bacterial small subunit ribosomal RNA
Source: RNAcentral